CACGUAGGGGGCGAGCGUUGUCCGGAUUUAUUGGGCGUAAAGAGCUCGUAGGCGGCUCGGUAAGUCAGGUGUGAAACCUCCAGGCUCAACCUGGAGACGCCACCUGAUACUGCCGUGGCUAGAGUCCGGUAGAGGAGCGUAGAAUUCCUGGUGUAGCGGUGAAAUGCGCAGAUAUCAGGAGGAACACCGGUGGCGAAGGCGGGUCUCUGGGCCGUCACUGACGCUGAGGAGCGAAAGCGUGGGGAGCGAACAGG
RNAcentral lists this ribosomal RNA (254 nucleotides) under uncultured bacterium. RNAcentral describes it as "partial 16S ribosomal RNA". It matches the Rfam family "Bacterial small subunit ribosomal RNA", at positions 524 to 776 of the family's 1533-position model. The record is from RNAcentral.